UUCGGUGGAGCGGUGGGGCAGCGUGUUUUUCUUUUUCUUUUUCUUCUGGGGGUCUCUUGUGUGGCUGGGUUGUCUCUGUUUGGGUUUGUUGGUUGCUUCAUUUUCUUUUCAGCGUUGCGUCUUAUCGACUGAGUGGAUCCUUUGGUGUAUCCGUGCUUGGUCCCUGCGCUAAUUGUGUGUUUUGUCUCUUCUAGAUGGUCCUCUUCAUUCGUGCAGUAUUCGUGCGCUCUUUUGGGGAAUGAUCUGAAAGCGGCUUUUUUGUGUCUGAUGGGAUCGUUCGACCGGUUGGGGAUGAUGACCGGGUGGUGGGUGGGCUUUCUAUGUGCCUUUGUUUGGUGGAGUCCUUCUACUAUUUUUGUAUCUGGAUCUGGGAGGUGCGCGUUUCUUUUGGAGUUCUGCUCUUGCUUUGGUUGGAGGCCCGGAGGUUCCUUUGUUGGUUUGCUUUCUGGGGCUUCGGGCUUGGCGUUCUCCUCCCGUAUGACAGGGAUGUCGUCUGCAU
RNAcentral lists this long non-coding RNA (499 nucleotides) under Androctonus crassicauda. Lineage: Eukaryota; Metazoa; Arthropoda; Arachnida; Scorpiones; Buthidae. The record is from RNAcentral.